This 562-nucleotide ribosomal RNA is filed under the name uncultured bacterium. RNAcentral describes it as "partial 16S ribosomal RNA". It matches the Rfam family "Bacterial small subunit ribosomal RNA", at positions 355 to 1376 of the family's 1533-position model. The record is from RNAcentral.
UGGGGAAUAUUGGACAAUGGGCGCAAGCCUGAUCCAGCCAUGCCGCGUGAGUGAUGAAGGCCCUAGGGUUGUAAAGCUCUUUCGCCAGGGACGAUAAUGACGGUACCUGGAUAAGAAGCCCCGGCUAACUUCGUGCCAGCAGCCGCGGUAAUACGAAGGGGGCUAGCGUUGUUCGGAAUCACUGGGCGUAAAGCGCACGUAGGCGGAUCUUUAAGUCAGGGGUGAAAUCCCGAGGCUCAACCUCGGAACUGCCUUUGAUACUGGAGGUCUCGAGUUCGGGAGAGGUGAGUGGAACUGCGAGUGUAGAGGUGAAAUUCGUAGAUAUUCGCAAGAACACCAGUGGCGAAGGCGGCUCACUGGCCCGAUACUGACGCUGAGGUGCGAAAGCGUGGGGAGCAAAACAGGAUUAGAUACCCUGGUAGUCCACGCCGUAAACGAUGGAUGCUAGCCGUUGGGGAGCUUGCUCUUCAGUGGCGCAGCUAACGCUUUAAGCAUCCCGCCUGGGGAGUACGGUCGCAAGAUUAAAACUUAAAGGAAUUGACGGGGUCAUAGCUGUUUCCUG